Molecule: long non-coding RNA, 6144 nt
Organism: Bombus pyrosoma
Lineage: Eukaryota; Metazoa; Arthropoda; Insecta; Hymenoptera; Apidae
Exons: 3
Source: RefSeq, a predicted model, not a curated record
UCACUCUAAUAGUUCUACAGCUGCAACAUGCGUAACUUGGAUCAUUAAAAUAACAUUUCAAACAAUUUUUCUUCACAGAUGAAAUUAAAAAUUGGUUAAGAGAGACGAUAAAGAUAUACGUAACAUUAAAAUGGAAAUUUAAAAAGAAGUAGAAGAAUUCUAUAUAAAUGGUUGAGAGCGUCAGGCGCAAAAAAUACGAUUCCCCUAAUUCCCCAUACCGUUGUAUACCUACAACGUGCUGGAUCUACCCCUAAUUUCGUUCAUCGCCCCAUAGAAAUUCCCCUUGAAUCUCUAGCCCACCAAACAUAUGUCGGAGAUCUCGUCCCCUUUUCGGUACAAUGACACCAUGGAAUUUCGUGCAGACGAUUGGCCAGUCGUUCGUCCAAUGAAACACGCUGGCAGAACUUUAUGGGGGUUGACACGCGUCCUGUUUCCCCUGGGGUGGAAUUCAUGGGAUUAGGCGGCGGCAACGUAAACGUAACGUCGUUAUGAUAACUUGUUUCUCUUCCUCGUUUCCUCCACUCUUUUUUUCACAGUAGGAUUAUGUUGGAUUACGACUUCGCCACUUUCUUCUCGCUUCUUGUAAAACGUUAAACGUAGCGUAAUAAGCGCACAUCGAGGGUACUGUGGAAAUAAUGUUUUUCUUUUAAUAUCAAUGGUGUUAUUUGAAAUUCAAUGGGAAGUUGGUAAUUUUUGAAGUUGUAUUUUUAAGAUUUACAUAAUGAAAUGUUAGUGCACGUAGAGGUAAGAGAGUAUGCCAGUUACAGUGUCAGGUGAGCGACUAUGGAGUUGAUCGUUGGCUGCUUGUAAUUCUAGACAGGAAUUAAGCGGUGCAGCGGACAGCCACAGCUUCACCGUUGCAAGCGGUACUGUGGAAAGGACAACUUUGUAAUAUGAUUACGGCCGGAGAGAUUCAAUAUCGAAAUUAGGAAAACUGAAUUUUUAACCGUCCUAAUAUCUUCAUCCGUGACGAACUAUCGUAGCGAAUAAGAACGUCAGUGGAUACUGGUUCCUAUGAAAGGACCACAAUUUCAAAGGAAAAUGGAGCGAAGUCGACAUUUUAAAACAAGAAAUCACACUACAAGACCUGCAAUAAUCCAACAGUUAAAAUUAACGAAGAAGUAUACUCCAUUCAUUUUACUUACUAUUUGCCACUGAAAUACCAUAUUUUCUAUGUUUACAUUUAUCGUUGAAUGAAAGUCAAGCAAUUGUAGAAAAAUAACUGUACUCGUGAUUCUAUAACUCCAGACUGCAGUAAUUGUGUAAUACGACGAAUAUCCUGUUUAAAAAAUUGAAAUAUAUUAAAACAGAAAUUAGACGCAUUAUGUCCUUUCCUGGGAAAAGACAAACACGAACAAGCGCCGUUUUUGUUACGAGUCAUUUAAUUAUCAAAGAAGUACUUUCCAUCCAUCUUAAUUGCCAUACACCGCUAAAAGAGCAAAUUCCAAAGGAAGAAUGAAAGAAAGUCAGCAUCUUGAAAAAGGCGUUCACGCUGUGAGUCUGGUGUACGCACGAACAGCUGGAAUCUCCUCCAGUCACCAGCGGGAUCCAUUCAGAAUCACCGACGCGACAGCUGAAGGACGUUGUUUUCCUACGACAAAUUACGCGCGCGUUCGCCGCUUUCGACGCGCGGCGUCGAUGCGUGUGCGUGUGAUCCUCCCGUGUUGUCUACAUACACCAACACACAACGUACGCACACCAUAACGCUGACCUACCCCACUGAGAAUCGUGUUUCAAUACAGAAACCGAAAACCAUAUCAUUACGUUGAAGCUCGUAGCAAACUUUUGUAGGAAAUGCGCGCGCGCAAUCGACUAACCUUUGCGAGGGCCAGUUAGCGCGUUUCACAGGUGUGUGUUAAUACACGUGAUAAUCGAGCACGCGUGCCACUAAGAAAACAUUUUUCUGUAGUAAGUUUUUCUUUGAUUCGUCGAUACGGUGAUUUUAUUCUCUAAUCGUGUGAUUCUGGACGGAUUCAUUGUGAUUUGGAGUAAGAAUGACGAAGAGUUUGGAUGCAAUCGAUGGAAUGUUUGGAGUAAGGAUGACGGAGAAUUUGAAUGCGUACGUAUAGUGUAAGUCGACUUUGUGUUCUAGAGUUUAUGUUUACUGAGUCUUAUUAAAAAUUGAGCGUAUUAAUUUUGAAUGGGUUUAUUGUGAUUUUAGGUAAGAUCGAUGGAAUGUUUGGAGUAAGAAUGACGGAGAGUUUAGAUGCGUACAUAUAGUGUAAGUUGACUUUGUAUUUUAGAAGUUGUGCUUAUUGAAUCUUACUAAGAAUUGAUGUAAUUAAUUUCGAAUAGGUUUAUUGUGAUUCAGGUAAGAUCGAAGGGGUGUUUGGAUGUGUACAUAUGAUAUAAAUUGACUCUGUGUCUUGGGGGUUAUGUCGAGUGAAGUUAGUAGUUUAUCGGCCUCCGAUCGUCUCCAAAAAAUCACGUCUCGUGCUCGCAACCAACAAUUGCACAAUACGAUUUCGCGGUUUCAUUGCGGUGCUUACAGGUUGAGGAUUUUUCAAAGAAGUUGCGCUAUACUCCUUCUACUUUUACUCGACAUAUAAGUACCAUAUAUAUAUAACGAGGAAUACAAAUCACUUAAAAUCAUUCUACCAUAUAUGUUCUUCAUUGAAGAAUUCUAUUCUAUUUUCUAUUGGGAAGCAUGUUAAAUUAACAGUGUUCCGGGUAAAAUAUCAUGACCAAACAAACAUUAUGUUUCUUUACUGUGAGGCUUGCAACGGUUCCAGAUUAGUUCAGAUAUCCAUCACUUUUUAUUAUAAGGAUUAUAAUGUCGAUUAAUGGAAACAGUUACAAAUCGGUUCAGGGUGAACAGUCUUCAUCAGCUAGGAUACCAUAGUGCGUAACUCUUUAACAUAAAAAUUAUAAUAUUAGUUGAUUGACGAAAACAAUUCCAAAUCGGUUAGGCCCGAGAAACGAGGAACGAACAAUUGGCGAAUGCGGGGCAAAAUUGACCACGUUGGUUACAUAAUGGGCCUCCUCGAGCUUCGUCAAAUGGUGGGCAGUACGAGUAUUUAGAUGAGUUGACUCCAAUUGGCGUACGUACCGUGAGAAUCCAGUAUCUAGCGCGUGGACCGUGUGUGAACCAGUCAGUCGAGGAAGAAAAAUGGGUGAACUAAUCAUGCAAAUUGGGUACAAAGUUACGUAAUUCUGUUCUAUCUCUAUCCACCCGUCCGUUGGAAUCUCGAACAUCAGACGUCCAGUAAUAGUCGCUUGCAUUUGCAGCAAUUAACUAUUUCUUCAUCGAAAUUAGAUUGACGUUGACUCGCAAGCGUUUUGUAAUUGAAAUAUUGUUUUUGGUAUCUGUACUGGCUUCGUUGCUAGUUCCUUGUCCCACUUCUGAAACUAGAUUAAUUGAUUCCACCACUAGGUAAUCGGUCUAAUUAUUCGAGCGUUAUAACUUUCUUGGAGUUGUUAAUAUUUAAUCGAGCAAUUAGAGAAUUAAAUUCGGCAAGAGAUAUAGCUAUUUCUGUACAUAUUACAGGAGAAAUCCUCUUCUGAUUUUGCGGUAUACAUAGACUUAGAAAUAUUAAGGAAUCAAAACCUUCCAAAUUCUCAAACUUAAAUAGAUUAAAGUCUUUAAAUGGAUUCAGCAAGUCAAAAACUAUUAAAACAGGUUAAUUUCAUUCGUAGGAUAACACAAUCACUAGCUUCAGUUCCAUUGGAAACUAUAGCUAGGGGUCAGAUUCUGAUUAGGUUUAAACUAAAUAUUAUCCAGCUUUCAACUUUGACUUUCACAGCCAAGCAAUUAAAACUGCUGUAUUGAGUUUGAUUCGGAUUACUUUUCACGACCCAAAUUUUUGUUAUUCAUAAAGAAUACCUUAGAAGUUAGAAACAAAAACAGUCUGCUACACUGAACAAAUUUAUACUUGUUAUACAAGAACAGGAAAAAGGAUUUGGUUCAGGCCUGAAAUCGUAUUCGCAUUGCCACAACAUUCAUUUCUCAAUUAAAAUUUUGGAAGCGACGACCAUCCUAAAACUCUUAAGCAAAGAUGCGCUGGAUGUGUAACGUCGAAAAAUGCUGGAAAAAUCAAACAGACGUGUAGGACCGUGGUCUGGCUCGCGGAGCAGAUUUGAGUGAGGAACGGAAGAGGAGGUUCGGAACGAUUAUGCAGCACGACACGGUGCCCAACAAGGAGAGACAAGGAGAUGGAGAGAAAAAGAGAAGGAGUGCACGAUGCACACGCUGCGAGCAAUGUGCGAGGCUUCGCGCGGCCGUCAAUUACGAUUAAUUAGAGCGGAGACUGACAGCGGACGCAGCGACGGCUACUUAAUACUUUAACUUGUCCCCAACCCUCCACCCGUUCACUUCCUCCGUCGUCGUCGACGGUGACGAAUCGACCGAGAGCUCCGUUCGUUUCGUUCAUCGUAAACUAUCGUGUAUAUAUCCCUUUUUGCCUUUUUCUCCUCGAUGUUCCCUCCAUUCACGAAACGUGAGAUCUCUGUUACGUCCUUGUUCGCGGCAGGGAAAAAGUCACCAUCCAGGAAAUUCAAGCUUCUGGCUUGGGGCCACGCGUGCUCUCGUAAUAGGACAGUUUGUUCCUUGUAAAAUCAUUCCUUUCCUUCUCUUGAAAUUCUAUUUCUAUUGCGUUCUUUCGGUUGUAAGAAAAGGUCUAAGGGAAUAAAAUACGAGGCUCAUUACAUAAAUAGAUAGAUAGUUUUAUUUUAGCCUGGCGGCCUUGAAACAAGACUUGGAUUACAAUUCCUCAGUUUAUUACAGUAUUUAAAAGGCUAAAAUACACGUAGAAUACUCUUUGUUCGUUAACGAUCACAGAAAGAUGCAAUUGUAGCUUUUUAACGUUAGAAAAUGUCUCAGGCUUGAACAAGAUAUGAAACAUUUCUCACCGGAAUGCAGGAUCUUUUUAAUGUGCUCUUGAAAGAUUAGAAAUCCCCUUUUUUGUUAAAAUUAUAAAGAUAAUAUAGCAAUAUGAAAAUUUCAGUAUCGCAGCAGGGUUAAAUUCGCUUCGAUAUUUGUAUUGUAUGAAAUGAAUGUGUAGAAUGUUUUUGGUAUUGUUUUCUGUACCAGGUAUAAAUAGUUGGAAGGUUUGUGGUACUUGAAAUUAAAAUCUUAGAGACUUCUUAGAGACUGAGAGAUACUUCAUGCCAAUGAAUUAGUACUUUUUGGCUAUAAAAGUACAUGUUGAUACAAUGGAAGAUCACUCAUCUGAAUCUGAUUGUUACGUUAGACAUUGAACAUAGGAGAAUAAUUUUAUUAUAUUAUAUAAGAGUUAACGUUCACAUUAGUAGAUUCAAUCAGCAGGUGUUAGUUACUAGUUAGGUGGUAGUUACUCGAGUAUUAAAUAAAGUCUUGUUCCAGUAAAACGAAUUCUGCUUUAUACACGUAAUCUAAAUCUACUCUUGUUAAUUAGUACUUAUCUAUUAAAUGUAGAAUUAAUAUUUACAGUUACAGGAUAACAUGUAAAAGUAGUCAUCGAAAUGAAAUAUUAACACCAUAAGAUAAACUAUCGAAGCACCCCAAUCUGUCGUUAGAUUGACGAAGGAAGUGAGAAUUAAUGACAAUUAGUUAGCAGAAACAUCAGAGUCCCUCGACUUUGAGCGUUGAACAAGUCGAAUCUAAUAACAAGUUGUCGGUGUACACACUUCGUAACAACCGUAAUUAAUUAUAUAAUAUCGUGAUCUACGUUAGAAAGAGAGAACUCGCUGCAUUAUUAAACAGCAACAAUUAAAGCGAAGAAUUAAUUCAGAAUAUUGCGGAUGCGCCGUUUCACGGUUUCAGGCAUACGUUCGUUACGCAUCGCAUCGACUUUAUAUUAAUAAGUAUGAUGUUCUGCUCGUUUGUAAGACGUAAAAUCAUUAAUCAAAGCUACAAUUAUAUACACGUUGGCACCAUUUUAUAAGUUACCCACCGUAGCGCGAAAACUAUUUAUUUUACCAAUACCGUAGCAACAACACGGCUUCAUAUUGAGAUUAUAUUUUAUCAGGUGUUUCAUUACGAAAAAGAAAACAUUACAAACGUAUGAAAAUUUAUUUAUAGCCAUUCACGAAGGUCUUCGUACACCUUAUUCCUUCAUAUACCUUCGUAUACGAAGGCCAUUUUCAUUCACUGUAUGGUAUAGUGGUUAUCUUAUCACGUAACCGAUAUGUUCAGAAAUUUAUUUAAGUUUAGCAAGAAAAGAUAAC